GCCUACCAUGGUAGUAACGGGUAACGGGGAAUUAGGGUUCGAUUCCGGAGAGGGAGCCUGAGAAACGGCUACCACAUCCAAGGAAGGCAGCAGGCGCGCAAAUUACCCAAUCCCGACACGGGGAGGUAGUGACAAUAAAUAACAAUACGGGGUUCUAUAGGAUUUCGUAAUUGGAAUGAGUACAAUUUAAAUCUCUUAACGAUCAACAAUUGGAGGGCAAGUCUGGUGCCAGCAGCCGCGGUAAUUCCAGCUCCAAUAGCGUAUAUUAAAGUUGUUGCAGUUAAAAAGCUCGUAGUUGAAUUUCGGGGUUAGUAGGUUGGUCAUGCCUCUGGUAUGUACUGGUCUCACUGAUUCCUCCCUCUUGACGAACUGUAAUGUCAUUAAUUUGGUGUUGCAGGAAAUCAGGACUGUUACUUUGAAAAAAUUAGAGUGUUUAAAGCAGGCUUAGGCUUGAAUACAUUAGCAUGGAAUAAUGAAAUAGGACGUUUGAUCCUAUUUUGUUGGUUUCUAGGAUCGACGUAAUGAUUAAUAGGGAUAGUUGGGGGCAUUAGUAUUCAAUUGUCAGAGGUGAAAUUCUUGGAUUUAUUGAAGACUAACUACUGCGAAAGCAUUUGCCAAGGAUGUUUUCAUUAAUCAAGAACGAAAGUUAGGGGAUCGAAGACGAUCAGAUACCGUCGUA
Molecule: ribosomal RNA, 679 nt
Filed under: uncultured Glomus
Lineage: Eukaryota; Fungi; Glomeromycota; Glomeromycetes; Glomerales; Glomeraceae
Description: SSU rRNA
Rfam family: Eukaryotic small subunit ribosomal RNA
Source: RNAcentral